RNAcentral lists this ribosomal RNA (253 nucleotides) under uncultured bacterium. Its description in RNAcentral is "partial 16S ribosomal RNA". It matches the Rfam family "Bacterial small subunit ribosomal RNA", at positions 524 to 776 of the family's 1533-position model. The record is from RNAcentral.
UACGUAGGGGGCAAGCGUUGUCCGGAUUUAUUGGGCGUAAAGAGCGUGUAGGCGGCCAGAUAGGUCUGCUGUGAAAACUCGAGGCUUAACCUCGAGAUGUCGGCGGAAACCAUCUGGCUAGAGUCCGGAAGAGGAGAGUGGAAUUCCUGGUGUAGCGGUGAAAUGCGCAGAUAUCGGGAAGAACACCCGUGGCGAAGGCGGUUCUCUGGGACGGUACUGACGCUGAGACGCGAAAGCGUGGGGAGCGAACAGG